AGAUUGAACGCUGGCGGAAUGCUUUACACAUGCAAGUCGAACGGCAGCACGGGACUCAGGCAACUGAGCCCUGGUGGCGAGUGGCGAACGGGUGAGUAACAUAUCGGAACGUACCCAGUCGUGGGGGAUAACUCUCCGAAAGGAGAGCUAAUACCGCAUACGUCCUGAGGGAGAAAGCGGGGGACCUAAGGGUAACUGAGGGCCUCGCGCGAUUGGAGCGGCCGAUAUCGGAUUAGCUAGUUGGUGAGGUAAAGGCUCACCAAGGCGACGAUCCGUAGCGGGUCUGAGAGGACGACCCGCCACACUGGAACUGAGACACGGUCCAGACUCCUACGGGAGCAGCGAGUGGGGAACUUUUGGACAAGUGGGCGAAAGCCUGAUCCAGCCAUGCG
This 392-nucleotide ribosomal RNA is filed under the name uncultured soil bacterium. RNAcentral describes it as "bacterial SSU rRNA". It matches the Rfam family "Bacterial small subunit ribosomal RNA", at positions 26 to 399 of the family's 1533-position model. The record is from RNAcentral.